RNAcentral lists this ribosomal RNA (255 nucleotides) under uncultured bacterium. RNAcentral's name for it is "partial 16S ribosomal RNA". It matches the Rfam family "Bacterial small subunit ribosomal RNA", at positions 524 to 776 of the family's 1533-position model. The record is from RNAcentral.
UACGUAGGGGCUGAGCGUUGUCCGGCAAUCAUUGGGCGUAAAAGCGCGUGUAGGCGGUCCGGUAAGUCCGCUGUGAAAGUCGAGGGCUCAACCCUCGAAUGCCGGUGGAUACUGUCGGGCUUGAGUACGGGAGAGGCGAGUGGAAUUCCUGGUGUAGCGGUGAAAUGCGCAGAUAUCAGGAGGAACACCGAUUGCGAAGGCAGCUCGCUGGAACGUUACUGACGCUGAGACGCGAAAGCGUGGGGAGCAAACAGG